AAAGCUUUUACCUAAAGAAAAUAAAUAGUCAAGUCAGAGAGAAGAAAACAUUAAAAGGGGUUUUAAUGUGCAUUUUUUUGGUCCAUUACAACUUUUCAGGUCAACGAAGUAAGAUACUUUAAGUGUAAGUGUUUUUAUUUCUUUAUGCGUUUAUAUUCAAUUAAAAAUGCAUGGAUUGUCAGUAGACAUUCAUUUUUUUUAAGGAGAUAUGAAAUUCUACGAGAUUAUAAGAGGACCUAAGAUGGGUGAGUCACUUGGUCACCGAUAUACUCUAUAAGAUCAGAUGGGUGGUUUGGGUCGAUUGGAAUUGUGGAAGGGCGGUGAUGUGGACUACCAAGUGGAUCGUAGUAACAAAGAAUAAAUUUUUCAUUAAAUUUUUCUACCUUUAUAAUUAUUUGUUAAUUUUAAGACAUGUUUAGUGUUAUUUACUAGAUACAAUUGCAGUUAUUAUGUAUUAAAGACUUUUAUUUUGAUCUUUUUGCAUGUAAGGUAAAGAAAAAUGAAUUUUUGAUAA
Olea europaea var. sylvestris is the source of this 514-nucleotide long non-coding RNA. RefSeq lists it as uncharacterized. The record is from RefSeq and is a predicted model, not a curated record. NCBI's taxonomy places the organism in Eukaryota, Viridiplantae, Streptophyta, Magnoliopsida, Lamiales, Oleaceae. The transcript has 2 exons.